ACUCAGUUAGUUCAGUUGGCAGAACACUAGAUAAUUUUAUAUUUUUUAUUUUAGAAAUGCAGGUUUGAUUCCUGUACUGAACU
Molecule: non-coding RNA, 83 nt
Organism: Glomus cerebriforme
Lineage: Eukaryota; Fungi; Glomeromycota; Glomeromycetes; Glomerales; Glomeraceae
Source: the annotation of a GenBank genome assembly